CAUAUCAAUAAGCGGAGGAAAAGAAACCAACAGGGAUUGCCCCAGUAACGGCGAGUGAAGCGGCAACAGCUCAAAUUUGAAAUCUGGCCCCAGGCCCGAGUUGUAAUUUGCAGAGGAUGCUUUUGGCGCGGUGCCUUCCGAGUUCCCUGGAACGGGACGCCAUAGAGGGUGAGAGCCCCGUACGGUUGGACACCAAGCCUUUGUAAAGCUCCUUCGACGAGUCGAGUAGUUUGGGAAUGCUGCUCUAAAUGGGAGGUACAUUUCUUCUAAAGCUAAAUAUUGGCCAGAGACCGAUAGCGCACAAGUAGAGUGAUCGAAAGAUGAAAAGCACUUUGAAAAGAGGGUUAAACAGCACGUGAAAUUGUUAAAAGGGAAGCGCUUGUGACCAGACUUGCGUCCGGUGAAUCACCCAGCUCUCGCGGCUGGGGCACUUCGCCGGCACAGGCCAGCAUCAGCUUGCCGUCGGGGACAAAAGCUUCAGGAACGUGGCUCCUCUCGGGGAGUGUUAUAGCCUGUUGCAUAAUACCCUUCGGCGGGCUGAGGUACGCGCUCCGCAAGGAUGCUGGCGUAAUGGUCAUCAGCGACCCGUCUUGAAACACGGACCAAGGAGUCAACCUUAUGUGCGAGUGUUUGGGUGUCAAACCCCUACGCGUAAUGAAAGUGAACGCAGGUGAGAGCUUCGGCGCAUCAUCGACCGAUCCUGAUGUUCUCGGAUGGAUUUGAGUAAGAGCAUAUAGGGUUGGACCCGAAAGAAGGUGAACUAUGCGUGUGUAGGGUGAAGCCAGAGGAAACUCUGGUGGAGGCUCGCAGCGGUUCUGACGUGCAAAUCGAUCGUCAAACAUGCGCAUGGGGGCGAAAGACUAAUCGAACCUUCUAGUAGCUGGUUCCGC
This 890-nucleotide ribosomal RNA is filed under the name Colletotrichum nymphaeae. RNAcentral's name for it is "LSU rRNA". It matches the Rfam family "Eukaryotic large subunit ribosomal RNA", at positions 39 to 960 of the family's 3401-position model. The record is from RNAcentral. Lineage: Eukaryota; Fungi; Ascomycota; Sordariomycetes; Glomerellales; Glomerellaceae.